Molecule: ribosomal RNA, 497 nt
Filed under: uncultured bacterium
Lineage: Bacteria
Description: partial 16S ribosomal RNA
Rfam family: Bacterial small subunit ribosomal RNA
Source: RNAcentral
GAUGAACGCUGGCGGCGUGCCCUAUACAUGCAAGUCGAGCGAACGGACGAGAAGCUUGCUUCUCUGAUGUUAGCGGCGGACGGGUGAGUAACACGUGGAUAACCUACCUAUAAGACUGGGAUAACUUCGGGAAACCGUAGCUAAUACCGGAUAAUAUUUUGAACCGCAUGGUUCAAAAGUGAAAGACGGUCUUGCUGUCACUUAUAGAUGGAUCCGCGCUGCAUUAGCUAGUUGGUAAGGUAACGGCUUACCAAGGCAACGAUGCAUAGCCGACCUGAGAGGGUGAUCGGCCACACUGGAACUGAGACACGGUCCAGACUCCUACGGGAGGCAGCAGUAGGGAAUCUUCCGCAAUGGGCGAAAGCCUGACGGAGCAACGCCGCGUGAGUGAUGAAGGUCUUCGGAUCGUAAAACUCUGUUAUUAGGGAAGAACAUAUGUGUAAGUAACUGUGCACAUCUUGACGGUACCUAAUCAGAAAGCCACGGCUAACUACGUG